AUUGAACGCUGGCGGCAGGCUUAACACAUGCAAGUCGAACGAGUGGCGUACGUGUGACUAAUGCUUGGGAAUCUUGCUUAUGGAUAGGGAUAGCUACGGGUAACUGUAGCUGCUACCGCGUACCAUAGGAUGAGCCCAAGUGGGAUUAGGUAGUUGUUGAGGUAAAGGCUUACCAAGCCGACGAUCUCUACCUGGUCUGAGAGGAUGACCAGCCACACUGGGACUGAGACACGGUCCAGACUCCUACGGGAGGCAGCAGGGGGGAAUAUUGCGCAAUGGGGGAAACCUGACGCAGCCAUGCCGCGUGAAUGAAGAAGGCCUUCGGAUUGUAAAGUUCUUUAGGUUGCGAGGCGUUAACUACAGAAGAAGCACCGGCUAACUCCGUGCCAGCAGCCGCGGUAAUAC
Molecule: ribosomal RNA, 405 nt
Filed under: uncultured bacterium
Lineage: Bacteria
Description: partial 16S ribosomal RNA
Rfam family: Bacterial small subunit ribosomal RNA
Source: RNAcentral